CCCAGACUCCUACGGGAGGCAGCAGUGGGGAAUAUUGCACAAUGGGGGAAACCCUGAUGCAGCAACGCCGCGUGAGUGAAGAAGUAUUUCGGUAUGUAAAGCUCUAUCAGCAGGGAAGAAGAAAGACGGUACCUGACUAAGAAGCCCCGGCUAACUACGUGCCAGCAGCCGCGGUAAUACGUAGGGGGCAAGCGUUAUCCGGAUUUACUGGGUGUAAAGGGAGCGUAGACGGCUGUGCAAGUCUGAAGUGAAAGCCCGUGGCUCAACCCCGGGACUGCCUUGGAAACUGUGUUGCUGGAGUGCUGGAGAGGCAAGCGGAAUUCCUAGUGUAGCGGUGAAAUGCGUAGAUAUUAGGAAGAACACCAGUGGCGAAGGCGGCUUGCUGGACAGUAACUGACGUUGAGGCUCGAAAGCGUGGGGAGCAAACAGGAUUAGAUACCCGAGUAAA
This 448-nucleotide ribosomal RNA is filed under the name uncultured bacterium. RNAcentral describes it as "bacterial SSU rRNA". It matches the Rfam family "Bacterial small subunit ribosomal RNA", at positions 330 to 794 of the family's 1533-position model. The record is from RNAcentral.